AACGCGUGGGAACGUACCCAAUGGUUCGGAAUAACUACGGGAAACUGUAGCUAAUACUGGAUAAGCCCUAAGGGGGAAAGAUUUAUCGCCAAUGGAGCGGCCCGCGUUAGAUUAGGUAGUUGGUAGGGUAAUGGCCUACCAAGCCGACGAUCUAUAGCUGGUCUGAGAGGAUGACCAGCCACACUGGGACUGAGACACGGCCCAGACUCCUACGGGAGGCAGCAGUGGGGAAUAUUGGACAAUGGGGGCAACCCUGAUCCAGCAAUGCCGCGUGAGUGAUGAAGGCCUUCGGGUUGUAAAGCUCUUUUGUCAGGGACGAUGAUGACGGUACCUGACGAAUAAGCCCCGGCUAACUUCGUGCCAGCAGCCGCGGUAAUACGAAGGGGGCUAGCGUUGUUCGGAAUUACUGGGCGUAAAGGGCGCGUAGGCGGUCUAAUAAGUCAGAUGUGAAAGCCCCGAGCUUAACUUGGGAACUGCAUUUGAUACUGUUAGACUAGAGAGUGAGAGAGGAAAGUGGAAUUGCGAGUGUAGAGGUGAAAUUCGUAGAUAUUCGCAGG
Molecule: ribosomal RNA, 557 nt
Filed under: uncultured bacterium
Lineage: Bacteria
Description: bacterial SSU rRNA
Rfam family: Bacterial small subunit ribosomal RNA
Source: RNAcentral